Molecule: long non-coding RNA, 494 nt
Organism: Cercocebus atys (sooty mangabey)
Lineage: Eukaryota; Metazoa; Chordata; Mammalia; Primates; Cercopithecidae
Exons: 3
Source: RefSeq, a predicted model, not a curated record
GCUGAGCUCAAGAACAGUAUAGCCGAGAGAGGCUUCUCCAGCUGGCCCUGGUCCCCAUCUCUAAACAGAACAGAACCUGCUUCAACUUAGCACCGUCGACACAUUCAUUCGUUCAUUCGUUUUGCCGACAUGUGUUUAUUGAAAGCUUACUACGAGCCGGGUUCCUGGCACAUUCGGAUGAGGAGGAUGUAGUCUGUGGCCUCCAAAAGCGACUGAACAAGCAAGACCUAUUCCUAGAGACAACUGAGCCUCACUAAACAUCAGUGUGACAAGGACAGUAAUGGAGGUCAGCCAAGCCUGGGUGUCUCCUGUUCAUUCAGCAAAAGACCUCAUCCCGGAACAAGCGUGCAAAAGGAGACAGGGCAGGAUUCCAAACCGGCUGUUCAACAACCUAUGGACAGCUAUGUCGAAACAGGAUUGGACAACAAAGGCUGAUAGACUGAAUGGCAAAACCCAGCCAGGCCUGUCCGUCUAGAUUCUUCUUAGCCUCUCCA